RNAcentral lists this transfer RNA (87 nucleotides) under Candidatus Roizmanbacteria bacterium. RNAcentral describes it as "tRNA-Ser". It matches the Rfam family "tRNA". From Rfam's summary of the family: Transfer RNA (tRNA) molecules are approximately 80 nucleotides in length. Their secondary structure includes four short double-helical elements and three loops (D, anti-codon, and T loops). Further hydrogen bonds mediate the characteristic L-shaped molecular structure. tRNAs have two regions of fundamental functional importance: the anti-codon, which is responsible for specific mRNA codon recognition, and the 3' end, to which the tRNAs corresponding amino acid is attached (by aminoacyl-tRNA synthetases). tRNAs cope with the degeneracy of the genetic code in two manners: having more than one tRNA (with a specific anti-codon) for a particular amino acid; and 'wobble' base-pairing, i.e. permitting non-standard base-pairing at the 3rd anti-codon position. Lineage: Bacteria; Candidatus Roizmaniibacteriota. The record is from RNAcentral.
GGAGGGUUGGCUGAGCGGUCCAAAGCGAGGGGUUGCUAACCCCUUGAGUCUAAAAAACUCGCACAGGUUCAAAUCCUGUACCCUCCG